RNAcentral lists this unclassified non-coding RNA (234 nucleotides) under plant metagenome. RNAcentral's name for it is "partial contains small subunit ribosomal RNA, internal transcribed spacer 1, and 5.8S ribosomal RNA". The stretch from base 1 to 54 matches the Rfam family "Eukaryotic small subunit ribosomal RNA", at positions 1778 to 1831 of the family's 1831-position model. The record is from RNAcentral.
GGAAGUAAAAGUCGUAACAAAGUUUCCGUAGGUGAACCUGCGGAAGGAUCAUUUCCAAAUAACAAUUUUUUUUCUUUGUCUUUGGAGUUCAAAAAACGAUAAUGACACAGGAAGGAAAUUUUCUCUAUAACAAACACCACAUUGGUAUUCUAAAUACAAAAAUCUAACAUUUACUACUUACAAGAAUCUUGUAACAAAAAAACACAACUUUUAACAACGGAUCUCUUGGCUCUC